Molecule: long non-coding RNA, 818 nt
Filed under: Sus scrofa (pig)
Lineage: Eukaryota; Metazoa; Chordata; Mammalia; Artiodactyla; Suidae
Description: lncRNA (ENSSSCG00040004016.1)
Source: RNAcentral
AUGGAAGAAAUAAAAACGCUUCACGCCAGAAAAGAAAAGGCAACUGAAGUCCGGGGAUCUCACGAAUCUCUCAUUUGCCUCUUGGCUCGGGUUUUGUUCUGUGCGGGCCAACGUUCCAGGCUGCGGUUUCCUCUCAGGCUUCUCCCCAGGUCCCCGACCUGGGGGCAUGACAAGGAGCCAGGACCUGGAGCUUCCGAAGGCCAGCAGGUCGCCGUCAGACCUGAAGCCAGAAAACCAGCCCCGCCACCGGCUGGUGAGUUGGGCAUCGCAGUCCAACACCACUCUCUCUGAGAAGGGAAAGGUCCUCUAUCUGUGCUGAAAUGUGACUUAGCGCAACUGAGGAAAUGAAUUUUCAACUUGAUGUAAGGUGGGGUUUUUUUUAAUUUUUUUUUCUUUUUUCUUUUUACGGCUGCACCUGCGGCACAUGGAAGUUCCCAGGCCAGGGGUGGAAUUGGGGCUGCAGCUGCCGGCCUACGCCACAGCCACAGCAACACCAGAUCCAAGCCACAUCUUCGACUUACGCCGCAGCUUGCAGCAGUGCCCCAGGAUCCUUAACCCAUUGAGCGAGGUCAGGGAUCGAACCUGAAUCCUCACAGAGACAGUGUCGGGUCCUUAACCUGCUGAGCCACAGUGGGAACUCCUUUUUUAGAUUUUAAAAAUUGAAGUAUAGUUGAUUUACAGUUGAUUUGAUCGUUUCAGGCAUACAGCAAAGCGAUUCACGCAAUUUUAUUUAUUAUAAAUAGCCGCUUGUGGUUAGUGGCCACUAAAUUGGACAGUCCAGGGACACCUGACCAAAUAAAACCCCAAUGGAUGCCUCA